Phyllosticta citrichinensis is the source of this 114-nucleotide non-coding RNA. The record is from the annotation of a GenBank genome assembly. NCBI's taxonomy places the organism in Eukaryota, Fungi, Ascomycota, Dothideomycetes, Botryosphaeriales, Phyllostictaceae.
GCGUUGGUGGUUUAGUGGUAAAAUUGAUCGUUGCCAUGAAAAGUCAGCUUGAGUAUUUCAACACCGUCCUUUCCCUGCCUCGAUCAGCCCCGGGUUCGAUUCCCGGCCGACGCA